GUCUCCAGUGAGGAUUGUUUAAAUAUGGAGGAACUAAGUACAGAAGGCGGGGACUCACUGACAAAGCCGGAGGCUGCUGUAGAUGAAGGACGCCUGCAGUGUGCACUAAACUUGUGAGCUCUGCUGCACCAGAAGAGGCUGACCUCAAACUACCUCCUGCUUCAACCUUCAAAGGUCUAGGACUAAAGACUCUAGUCACACUACAAGUUUACUCUAAUGCGGUGAUUCUCAACCUUCCUAAGGCUGUGACCCUUCAAUACAGUUCCUCCUGUUGCAGUGAUCCCCAACUGUAGUUAUUUUUGUUGCUACAUCACAACUAUAAAAUUUUGCUACUGCUGUAAAACAUAAGAUUGACGUUGCAGCCUCUCUGGAGAAAGAGCCACCGCACUGCUCUUGGGCAGAAGGCUCAGCAAACACCAGUCGCAGGUUGAGGACCCUCAGUACGCAUGCACAAAUACACGAAGGCUCUUAAGAGGAUCAUGCAGGAGGAAGGAACUUGUGCUUCCGUUGUGUCUUUAUUCCACGGAAUUGUUACUGAUGGAUUCGUUUUAUGCUGGAAAGAACGAGGAAGGAAAAUGUUCCGACCACUGGACGGUGAAUGCCUGGCCGUUUACUGGAAUGACUUGCUGACCUUUGUUCUGGAGUUCUGAGCCCUUCCUUUGGAUGAGAGAUCAGGUCAAACACUAGGGUCAAUGUUGGGUGUGUAAGAGGGGGGAGGGAAGGAAAGAGUAGUUCCAAGUCCAUUGGGAAAAGCCCAGACAACGACAACAAGAUCAGGGCUCACCUUGGGAAGUGUGGAAGGAAGGACAGGCUUAAUGUAAGGAAUUCUGUGGGAUUUACAAAAUCAAGAACACUCGACUUAUAAAGAUGCCCUUCCUUUCUAGCCACUGCUCUGAACAUUGUGGAGGAUCAUAAACAUAUUUCUAGGCCACAUCCCAAGAGGUCCAUAGUGCUGCCAGAGAGCAACUGUAUACCUUGUCAAUUAUGAGGAAAUCACACUGUCACCUUCUCAGCCGCUGUCCUUUCUCCUAUUUUAUUGGUUCACACUUAAUGCAAACACUAUUUGCCCUGUUAGAUGACUUUUGGUAAUGUCCCCAUUUUUCAGAUGAGAAAACUGAGGCCCAGGACAACUAAUGCAACACGAUUGGCAAAUGGAUGUAAUCAAGUUUCAAACAUGAGCCAGUGUAAUUUUAUUAUUUAUUUAUUUAUA
Long non-coding RNA from Rattus rattus (black rat), 1210 nucleotides. RefSeq lists it as uncharacterized. The transcript has 3 exons. NCBI's taxonomy places the organism in Eukaryota, Metazoa, Chordata, Mammalia, Rodentia, Muridae. The record is from RefSeq and is a predicted model, not a curated record.